UUUCCCGGGGAUCGUCGAACCCAGCUAGUCGGCUUAUUAACUUUUAUGAGAGAACAACGGGCGGACGCAAGUGAGAAAGGGAUAGGAGAAAAGGCGCGGACAGAAGGCGACCCAACGGCCAUUUGCAGCUUGCGAAAAUAUCCUUUGCCAUUCGCUUACAAUGGAAUUAUACACCGGGGAAAUUUUUUCCCUACAAGAUUUAUCGGGAAAAGCACGAUUUAAUACGUAGCACGUUCCCCGAUAAUAUUGGAACUUUUUCAACGAGUUCACGUUUGUAACUUUCGAUAAUUAUUCCAACCUUUCGCGUGGAAGAUGGAAGACGCGUGACAAAGGAAGCGUGAAACACAAGGUUCGAGUAGAUGGAGGAACGGAAAGAGGAGGGGAGGAGUAAAGAAUGUGCCCGCGAAGAGAGUAAAAAGAAGGAAAAAACGGUGGAAUGGAUGAAGAAAGAAAGGAAGGAAGGAAGGAAGGAAGGAAGGAAAGGAGGGAGGGAGAGAACAAUAGUGUUCAGCCAAUUACGUAGUUCACCGGCAACGUCGACGAGGGCGCAACAAUCUUCAUUCCUUUCAAUUCUUUCAUUCCUUGUAUCGUGGGCAAAGAAGAGAGACCAGAAGCCGAUUGCCGAAAAAUUCUUCCAGAAAAUUCGCGCACCAUGAGAAGGGAACCGGAUCAAAAGGAUUCGUUAUCGUGCUCUUCCCUCCCUUCCUAGUUACGCCGAGACUGCUUGGGAUUAAGAGAUUUCGUGGCGUGGAAUUUAUGGCAUGGGUUUCUUCACUUCUGCUGGGACUUCAUAAAUAUACGGAUAGUUGACGGGCGGAUGGACGGCUGUUUCGUGGACGGCGCAUUUGUCUCGUUUGUCGAAACAGGCGUUAUCGAUAAGGGAAGGAAAAUCCAAUAGAACCGCUGUUCGAAAAGUCGUUUUCGAUACAUCCGGAGAUACGAGAUAUAUUUUGUCGAGUUGGCGAGUGUCUGACCCGAUUAUGGAUCGAUAUACGUUUCACGCAUCGCUACAUCAGCGAAUUUUCUAAUCUCUGCGUUUAUAUUCUUAAAUCUUAAAUUGACUAUAUUGCAUUUUUGAAAUUGCGAAAUUAGAAAUUCGAAUCGUACAAUAUCGUUAUAACGUCGAAUAAAAUAGAAAGCACGCGAUGCAAGUAAACAGAUAUCGGUCUGGAACAAUCAGAUUUGUGCCUAGUUUAUCGCGCGAAUUGAACGAAAUCGUGAAACGGUUGUGCUCUAACGUUUUCUAUGCAAAACUUCUUCCAAAUCGCUUACAACGGUUACGCAAACAUCCGAUCGGAUUAUCGAUGAAGCGUGUAGCAUCAAAAAGUGUUUACUUUACAUUGGUAUAAGGCCGGAACAAAGAAAGAGGAAAGUAGGACGAAAUAGAAAAUUAAAGGAGGCGAGUCAGUGGGUCGACAAUGAAGGUGAAGGAAAAGGAUGGUGGAAUCUUUGGGAAUACGGGAAUGAAAGAAAAUCUUUAUAUAUAUGUGUAAUGUAUUUUUCUUUCUUCUUCGACGAUCCUCGUAUUUACUUGUUUGGAAUCGUGCUCCGUGGCGUGGAAUUAUCGAGGAUGGCAAAUAUAAAGAGUAUCGAAAACCACUCGAACCAAGGAAGGAAUAAAGUGGGAUAAAUGCGUAGAGGAUGGAUGGACAAAACGAAGAAACUGGUACUGGUGUGUCCCAAGGUAAUUAAGCAAAGUAUCGUGCUACGUACAUACGAGUGAAGGAAAAACGAGGAAAAAGUAGAAUGCUACGAGGUUGUAGGAGGUGUUAGAUCAAGGGAAUUGACCGAGUCGUCUCUGCCUUCGCAUCCUUUACUUCGUUCCACGAAUGCGGUCAGAGCGUGUCGUUGCUUGCUUUUAAAUCGAAUCGACGAAGAAACCGUUCGUCGUUAAUUUAAUAAAACUAUCAGCCACGACGUACAUUUUAACGAGCCUCUACCUGUUGUUCUCCCUUUCAUUGAAUUUAUUCGUGUCGCGAACGUAAAACAAACGGGGUUGAAUAGCCAUUGCGACGAAGUGAAGAGGAUAAAAUUAGACAGGUAAAACAGAAUAUAUUUAACAGCUUAACGGUCAAGGUUUUUCUAUAUAGAUUUGUACGUAGAUGAAAAUUAUGAUCAUUUUUAAAAUAAUCGUAAUAAGUCGUAAAUAGCAUGUGUAUAAAUUUAACAACGAACGGUUAAAUGGAUUCUUAUUACGUUGUAUUGACGUUUGAUUUUCGUUCGUUAUAAAUAACAGAACAAAAGAAAAGAACAUUUGUGUUUUAAUUUAAAAGAUAUUGAUAAAAAAUUUUUAAUUCUUGAUACAUUGUAUGAAAAAAACAAAUUUUUCUUAAAUUUUGUUACGUAAUUGAAUUUCUUAUUAAAAAAAAAAAUUUUUUUUUUACGCCAUCUAGUUUUUGAGAUAUUUAAAAAAAUAUAUUUUUUAACACUCCAUUUUGGAGAAUGAUUUCACUCAUUCAAGGUGAAUAUCAACUGAUAAAAAAAAUAUUCAAUUUUUGUCAAAUAUUUUUUUUUUUUUUGAGAACUAUCUCCUGUAUAAAUUUCAUCAGAAUCAGAAUGUGUAGAUUUCGAUACGUUCCUUUUUAAAAUACCAAUUCAGAUAUGAAUUUGCAUAUCAAUGGUAUCAGUUGAUUAAUAAAUAUUAUUUCAUAUUGUAAGUAAUUAUUGCGAUUCUUCGAAUAUACAUUAGUUUUAUUUAAAUUUCAAAUCAUAUUAUAUAAGAUGAUUAUGA
This is a long non-coding RNA of Apis laboriosa (Himalayan honeybee), 2731 nucleotides long. RefSeq lists it as uncharacterized. Lineage: Eukaryota; Metazoa; Arthropoda; Insecta; Hymenoptera; Apidae. The transcript has 4 exons. The record is from RefSeq and is a predicted model, not a curated record.